GAAUUCGCCCUUGUUUGAUCCUGGCUCAGGACGAACGCUGGCGGCGCGCCUAACACAUGCAAGUCGAACGAGCGAGAGAGAGCUUGCUUUCUCGAGCGAGUGGCGAACGGGUGAGUAACGCGUGAGGAACCUGCCUCAAAGAGGGGGACAACAGUUGGAAACGACUGCUAAUACCGCAUAAGCCCACGGGUCGGCAUCGACCAGAGGGAAAAGGAGCAAUCCGCUUUGAGAUAGCCUCGCGUCCGAUUAGCUAGUUGGUGAGGUAACGGCCCACCAAGGCAACGAUCGGUAGCCGGACUGAGAGGUUGAACGGCCACAUUGGGACUGAGACACGGCCCAGACUCCUACGGGAGGCAGCAGUGGGGAAUAUUGCACAAUGGGGGAAACCCUGAUGCAGCGACGCCGCGUGGAGGAAGAAGGUCUUCGGAUUGUAAACUCCUGUUGUUGAGGAAGAUAAUGACGGUACUCAACAAGGAAGUGACGGCUAACUACGUGCCAGCAGCCGCGGUAAAACGUAGGUCACAAGCGUUGUCCGGAAUUACUGGGUGUAAAGGGAGCGCAGGCGGGAAGACAAGUUGGAAGUGAAAUCCAUGGGCUCAACCCAUGAACUGCUUUCAAAACUGUUUUUCUUGAGUAGUGCAGAGGUAGGCGGAAUUCCCGGUGUAGCGGUGGAAUGCGUAGAUAUCGGGAGGAACACCAGUGGCGAAGGCGGCCUACUGGGCACCAACUGACGCUGAGGCUCGAAAGUGUGGGUAGCAAACAGGAUUAGAUACCCUGGUAGUCCACACCGUAAACGAUGAUUACUAGGUGUUGGAGGAUUGACCCCUUCAGUGCCGCAGUUAACACAAUAAGUAAUCCACCUGGGGAGUACGACCGCAAGGUUGAAACUCAAAGGAAUUGACGGGGGCCCGCACAAGCAGUGGAGUAUGUGGUUUAAUUCGACGCAACGCGAAGAACCUUACCAAGUCUUGACAUCCUGCGACGCACAUAGAAAUAUGUGUUUCCUUCGGGACGCAGAGACAGGUGGUGCAUGGUUGUCGUCAGCUCGUGUCGUGAGAUGUUGGGUUAAGUCCCGCAACGAGCGCAACCCUUAUGGUCAGUUACUACGCAAGAGGACUCUGGCCAGACUGCCGUUGACAAAACGGAGGAAGGUGGGGAUGACGUCAAAUCAUCAUGCCCUUUAUGACUUGGGCUACACACGUACUACAAUGGCGUUAAACAAAGAGAAGCAAGACCGCGAGGUGGAGCAAAACUCAGAAACAACGUCCCAGUUCGGACUGCAGGCUGCAACUCGCCUGCACGAAGUCGGAAUUGCUAGUAAUCGUGGAUCAGCAUGCCACGGUGAAUACGUUCUCGGGCCUUGCACUCACCGCCCGUCA
RNAcentral lists this ribosomal RNA (1379 nucleotides) under uncultured bacterium. RNAcentral describes it as "bacterial SSU rRNA". It matches the Rfam family "Bacterial small subunit ribosomal RNA". The record is from RNAcentral.